CCUACGGGUGGCAGCAGUGGGGAAUAUUGCGCAAUGGGCGAAAGCCUGACGCAGCGACGCCGCGUGAGGGAUGAAGGUCUUCGGAUCGUAAACCUCUGUCAGCAGGGAAGAACGGUCACUGUGCUAAUCAGCAGUGAAUUGACGGUACCUGCAAAGGAAGCACCGGCUAACUCAGUGCCAGCAGCCGCGGUAAUACGGAGGGUGCGAGCGUUAAUCGGAAUUACUGGGCGUAAAGCGCUCGUAGGCGGUAUGUCAAGUCAAGGGUGAAAUCCCCGCGCUCAACGUGGGAACUGCCUUUGAAACUGGCAAACUGGAGUGUGUGAGAGGAUAGUGGAAUUCCAGGUGUAGGAGUGAAAUGCGUAGAUAUCUGGAGGAACAUCAGUGGCGAAGGCGACUAUCUGGCACAUAACUGACGCUGAGGAGCGAAAGCGUGGGUAGCAAACAGGAUUAGAUACCCGAGUAGUC
Molecule: ribosomal RNA, 465 nt
Filed under: uncultured bacterium
Lineage: Bacteria
Description: partial 16S ribosomal RNA
Rfam family: Bacterial small subunit ribosomal RNA
Source: RNAcentral